AGGUCCUCUUGGCCUUUUGGCUAACAUCAAGUGUAGUAUCUGUUCUUAUCAGUUUAAUACUUAGUCUUUUAUGAAUGAAUAAUAUUCCAUCAAAUAGAUGUGCCAGAUUUAAUUCAU
RNAcentral lists this small nuclear RNA (117 nucleotides) under Mesocricetus auratus (golden hamster). Its description in RNAcentral is "U2 spliceosomal RNA". It matches the Rfam family "U2 spliceosomal RNA". Rfam says of the family: U2 is a small nuclear RNA (snRNA) component of the spliceosome (involved in pre-mRNA splicing). Complementary binding between U2 snRNA (in an area lying towards the 5' end but 3' to hairpin I) and the branchpoint sequence (BPS) of the intron results the bulging out of an unpaired adenosine, on the BPS, which initiates a nucleophilic attack at the intronic 5' splice site, thus starting the first of two transesterification reactions that mediate splicing. Lineage: Eukaryota; Metazoa; Chordata; Mammalia; Rodentia; Cricetidae. The record is from Rfam by way of RNAcentral.